RNAcentral lists this long non-coding RNA (736 nucleotides) under Homo sapiens (human). Its description in RNAcentral is "HSALNT0321933". Lineage: Eukaryota; Metazoa; Chordata; Mammalia; Primates; Hominidae. The record is from RNAcentral.
UACUUUUGUAUUUGACCACGUAAGACAAUUGGAUGGGCACCUAAUAUAUUUCCUGGUACACUCCUAUUGUGGUUGGUCUUCUUUAUCUGUAUGUCUAUCUUGUUCAGUCUGCGCUUCAGCUUUGCAGGAAAAUAGAAAUUUUUUUUUCUGUGCUUGUUUAUGCUAACCAUGGUGCCUACAACUGCAUCUGCUGCCUUUACACGGGACUGCAAACCUGUUUUUUUCAACCUUCUGUUUUAUGGGUGUGCACACCCAUAAAUCUCCUGUGGCUGGGUUAAGGGAACAUACAAGCAGCUCUUCAGCAUUAAGAAUGUGAUGGGAGAGAUUCAGGUAGAUUUGAACUGCCAUCAUCAAUCAAGACCAAGGAGAAGGCUGCUUUCCAGGAUGUACACAUGGCCUCUGUUUGCUGUUGCUGUUUUGCUUCUUUUAAGAGCUCAACAGAACCCUGUAAUAUACAUGAACAAGUUUCUGGAAGUUAAGAGCAGGAAAUUCCACUGAAACAAAAUAGAACAUACCUUUAUGUUCUAUUGAGAGAGUGUGGAAGAAGAAAAUUCUGUAUUGGUUUUGACUAACAACAAGCUGCCGGAAGAUCUCUUUUUCUCCUACAGGUUAAUAAGGAGAAAAUUGAAAUUAGAAGCAUAAAGCAUUUUGUCAAGAUAUAACUAUGAAGAUAUUUUCAUUACUAAAUAUACAAAUAGGCCAGUUGCAGUGGCUCACACCUGUAAUCCCGGCAUUU